UACGGAGGGUGCAAGCGUUAUCCGGAUUUAUUGGGUUUAAAGGGUCCGUAGGCGGACUCGUAAGUCAGUGGUGAAAUCUCAUAGCUUAACUAUGAAACUGCCAUUGAUACUGCGGGUCUGAGUAAGGUAGAGGUAGCUGGAAUAAGUAGUGUAGCGGUGAAAUGCAUAGAUAUUACUUAGAACACCAAUUGCGAAGGCAGGUUACCAUGUCUUAACUGACGCUGAUGGACGAAAGCGUGGGGAGCGAACAGG
RNAcentral lists this ribosomal RNA (252 nucleotides) under uncultured bacterium. Its description in RNAcentral is "partial 16S ribosomal RNA". It matches the Rfam family "Bacterial small subunit ribosomal RNA", at positions 524 to 776 of the family's 1533-position model. The record is from RNAcentral.